CGUUCGAAACUCUUUUUAGUGCCUCCGACAAUUAUGUGGAAAAGAUGGAAGCAAGUUAUACUCAGACUGAAGACGUGGCCUUGAGUGUAAGCAAUGAAUUGAACUCCACAAAUGGUCCUCAAAGACCCAAGUGGAGCUGUUUAACCUGGUGACGGAUUAUGUCACUCAAAAACUAAAAUUGAAGCAAAAACAAACCACGAAGAAUUCCAUCAAUUCAUCUUCCAGAACUGGCGCUAUAUUUUACUAAAUUCGAAAGGAUGACAGAUAAAGUUGACUUCUGCUGGAUUCGAACUCAGAUCGCAGAGAGCAACAACAAUUACAUGAACAAAUUUUCGGUAUGAGAAUUACUUCCUCUCUCUCUCUCUCUCUCUCUCUCUCUCACACAUUUCCUCCCUCUUUUCCUAACAGUCUUUAAGUAUUAUUUUGUAAUUAUAGAUACAUUCUAUUUUAAUCCAUACUUCUUUAAUCCGUAUAUCUCUAAUUCAUAUAACUUUAAUCUCUAUUUCUCUAAGCAUACCUUCCUUCACAUUCUCCUACAAUUCAUGCCUUUACAAACCAUAUACUUCUCUAAUCCAUAGUCAUAUAUAUAUAUAUAUAUAUAUAUAUAUAUACACUGAGUGGGUGGCAAGUAGCUAGGCAUAAGAAAUUGCUUAUAGAAUGUUUAAUAUCACUGAAGUCAUGACGAAAACAUUUCUUAAGCAGACGACACUAAUGGAGAUUUCUUAUAUGGUCUUAUUUCUUAUUUUCCAGAUCGUCGAUAGCUUGACUGUUCAGGAGCCAGCUAAGAUAACAGCACGCUAUGAAGUGUGGAAGUCCGUUGUUUUGGUUCAGAGAGGGUGGCGUGCAUGGAAAGGUAAACAUACAACACUACGUCUGGAGACAGUAAAAGUUCUUAUGCAAAGCUUAUGACCACGGACUCUGUGAACGAUGCAAGUGGUGGCCGUCCAACCACAUCCCGAUCAACCGAAAAUGUGGCAACAGUGCAAGAAAUGUUUAAUCGUAGCUCCCAAAAAUCAACACGUCAAGCAGCUCGUGAAAGUGGACUAACAAGACACACAAUACGUACGGUUUUGCAUAAACAAUUGAAUUUUCAUCCGUGGAAACCCCGUUACGUGCAGGAGCUAAAACCUGAAAACUGUAACUGCAGAAUUCCAGAAGUCUAGAUCUCACCCCAAGUGAUUUUUACCUGUGAGGUUGCACAAAAAAGGAGGUAUACAAGACAAA
RNAcentral lists this long non-coding RNA (1224 nucleotides) under Octopus vulgaris (common octopus). The record is from RNAcentral. Lineage: Eukaryota; Metazoa; Mollusca; Cephalopoda; Octopoda; Octopodidae.